Molecule: small nuclear RNA, 185 nt
Organism: Artibeus jamaicensis (Jamaican fruit-eating bat)
Lineage: Eukaryota; Metazoa; Chordata; Mammalia; Chiroptera; Phyllostomidae
Product: U2 spliceosomal RNA
Exons: 1
Source: RefSeq, a predicted model, not a curated record
AUCACUUCUCGGCCUUUUGGCUAAGAUCAAGUAUAGUAUCUGUUCAUAUCAGUUUAAAAAAAUUCCUCUCUGGCACUUGGAUGGUAGAGAUGGGAGCGGGACCCCAGAAGGGUACAGAGAUGCAACUCCCCCUGUGCCUGCCUUUGGCGCAUCGUUCCAUCAGUGGUGUGCACCGAGGGCGUGGU